CAGCGCCGCGGUAAUACAGAGGGUGCGAGCGUUAAUCGGAUUUACUGGGCGUAAAGCGUGCGUAGGCGGCUUCUUAAGUCGGAUGUGAAAUCCCUGAGCUUAACUUAGGAAUUGCAUUCGAUACUGGGAAGCUAGAGUAUGGGAGAGGAUGGUAGAAUUCCAGGUGUAGCGGUGAAAUGCGUAGAGAUCUGGAGGAAUACCGAUGGCGAAGGCAGCCAUCUGGCCUAAUACUGACGCUGAGGUACGAAAGCAUGGGCAGCAAACAGGAUUAGAUACCCCUGUAGUCCCUGUCUCUUAUACA
Molecule: ribosomal RNA, 301 nt
Filed under: uncultured bacterium
Lineage: Bacteria
Description: partial 16S ribosomal RNA
Rfam family: Bacterial small subunit ribosomal RNA
Source: RNAcentral